This 213-nucleotide long non-coding RNA is filed under the name Populus trichocarpa (black cottonwood). RNAcentral's name for it is "long non-coding RNA (PTRI_LNC004710)". The record is from RNAcentral. Lineage: Eukaryota; Viridiplantae; Streptophyta; Magnoliopsida; Malpighiales; Salicaceae.
AAACUGAAGCUAAUCUUCUGCAAUAAUAUCGAAGAUCGUAAAAAAUUAGAGAGAUAGGAACCCUAAUUCAUUGAUAGAUUUGGAUCGAGAGGCUCGUCGAUGUAUAAGAGAGGGGGAGCGAGAGGGGUACGCGUGUUGGAUUUUGGAUUUGAAAUGGCGAGAAAACCUAGUAAAGGAAAGAGAGGAAGAGGAGCUGAUGAGCUAGGAGCCAAU